CCGAGUUCUAACAAACUCCCAAACCCCUGUGAACAUACCUAUCGUUGCUUCGGCGGGACCGCCCCGGGCGCCUUUCGAGGUGCCCCGGAACCAGGCGCCCGCCGGGGACACCAAACUCUUGAUUGUUAUAGUGGCAUUCUCUGAGUAAAUUAUACAAAUAAAUCA
This 165-nucleotide unclassified non-coding RNA is filed under the name uncultured Acremonium. RNAcentral describes it as "sequence contains ITS1". The record is from RNAcentral. Lineage: Eukaryota; Fungi; Ascomycota.